AUAUGCUCAAUAAUUAUGUAAAUGGGUCAAUCAAGAAAUUUAAAAAAAAGGGGCAGGAGGUGUUAAGAAAAAAAAGGGGAGUUCUUAGAAAAAAAAGAGGGUGCGGCUUGAUACGACCACAGAGGUCUGACCUAAAAUCAAAAAUCUAAAUACAUGGUUAUAUUCAGCAUAUAAAAGAACCCCAGAUAUUUCUAUUUUGUUGAAAUCAAUUAAAGUUUAAUUUUUGACCCGUUG
This 234-nucleotide long non-coding RNA is filed under the name Mytilus galloprovincialis (Mediterranean mussel). Lineage: Eukaryota; Metazoa; Mollusca; Bivalvia; Mytilida; Mytilidae. The record is from RNAcentral.